CUUAGAAUUGGAGUGCCUGGGUUAGAACCCUGCUGGUACCACCUGCUUACUGCAUGCUUCUGAUGUGAGUUCAGGAGAAGACACUGGCAAGGACAGCAAAGAACAGGAGAACACUCUAGCUUCCCUGAUAGCAUUCAAGGUGCUGUCCAAACUGACUGUGAUGGCACCCUCCAGACAGACAGCGAUGCCACAUGUUCAAGAUGGCAGAAUCACUAUCAGCUUCAAUUCCUGAAUGACUGCAGAGCAAAAUUUCUUACCUGCAACAUACACUCUAUUUUCAGCCUCCCUGGACUGUUACAUAAUGAUACAUAAAAAUAUUUCUUGUGUUGAGGCAUCCCAAAUUUGAUUUAUUUGUCAUCACAGUCUAUCCUAUGAAUAUAUUUCUGAUCCAAAUAAUGCUAGAUUCAUGAGAGUUUAUAGUCCAGAGAUUUUUUUUUUUUUUUUGAGACAGAAUCUGUCUCCCAGGCUGGGGUGCAGUGGCAUAAUCUUAGCUCACUGCAACCUCUGCCUCCCGGGCUCAAGUGAUCCUCCCUCCUUAGCCUCCAUGAGUAGCUGGGACCACAGGUGUGCACCACCACACCCCGCUAAUUAUUUUGUAUUUUUUGCAGAGGGGGGUUUCACCACAUUGCCCAAGCUGGUCUCAAACUCCUAGACUUAAGGGAUCUGCCUGCCUUGGCCUCCCAAAAUGCUGAAAUUACACUUGUUAGCCAUAGUAAUAGUUCCUAGCCAUAGUCCGGAGAUAUUUUAAAAACUUUAGUGUGAGUUAUUUCUCUUUG
Molecule: long non-coding RNA, 776 nt
Filed under: Homo sapiens (human)
Lineage: Eukaryota; Metazoa; Chordata; Mammalia; Primates; Hominidae
Description: non-protein coding lnc-FAM84B-15:128
Source: RNAcentral